CGCACUGACCGUAGUUGUAGUUCCAGGAUAUCUGGAUGGGACCCCUGCCAUAGUAUUGCUGGCCAGAAGCGCAGGGGAACUGGGGAGUUGGGGAGCAGUAAUCGCUUGGGUUCCGCUCUCUCAGGAAGCAGUAUCCCCAUGCGUAUGGUCCGUCAGGUGCACUGGGCCAUCCUCCGGUUGUUUCGUGAGACGUUUGCCCGAAGAAGGCCGCAAUCUCCCUCUUUCGAGUGGCUGUGUCUCCGGUGUUGCCGAAGCUGGGGAAAGCUCUGGCAGCGGCGAUGAAGGCAUCGUAGGUGUAGAAGCCUCUGGCUGGGCAGGCUCCGUCAUUGCGAUGUUUGAGCAUCUGGUCGAAGGUGGCCCUGGGUAUGAGAGCGGUGAGAUCAGUUGGAGCGGGCUGUCCUCCCCCGCACUGGCUCUGGCAACCCCGGCCGCAGUAGUCAUCGGUGGAGCCGCACCA
RNAcentral lists this long non-coding RNA (457 nucleotides) under Vigna radiata. Its description in RNAcentral is "long non-coding RNA (VRAD_LNC003937)". The record is from RNAcentral. Lineage: Eukaryota; Viridiplantae; Streptophyta; Magnoliopsida; Fabales; Fabaceae.